GACGAACGCUGGCGGCGUGCUUAACACAUGCAAGUCGAACGGAAAGGCCCUGCUUGCAGGGUACUCGAGUGGCGAACGGGUGAGUAACACGUGGGUGAUCUGCCCUGCACUUCGGGAUAAGCUUGGGAAACUGGGUCUAAUACCGGAUAGGAACCAUCUUUAGUGUGGUGGUUGGAAAGUUUUUUCGGUGUAGGAUGAGCUCGCGGCCUAUCAGCUUGUUGGUGGGGUAAUGGCCUACCAAGGCGGCGACGGGUAGCCGGCCUGAGAGGGUGUACGGCCACAUUGGGACUGAGAUACGGCCCAGACUCCUACGGGGGGCAGCAGUGGGGAAUAUUGCACAAUGGGCGCAAGCCUGAUGCAGCGACGCCGCGUGGGGGAUGAAGGCCUUCGGGUUGUAAACUCCUUUCGCUAGGGACGAAGCUUUGUUGUGACGGUACCUAGAGAAGAAGCACCGGCUAACUACGUG
RNAcentral lists this ribosomal RNA (466 nucleotides) under uncultured bacterium. Its description in RNAcentral is "partial 16S ribosomal RNA". It matches the Rfam family "Bacterial small subunit ribosomal RNA", at positions 28 to 507 of the family's 1533-position model. The record is from RNAcentral.